Molecule: ribosomal RNA, 488 nt
Filed under: uncultured bacterium
Lineage: Bacteria
Description: partial 16S ribosomal RNA
Rfam family: Bacterial small subunit ribosomal RNA
Source: RNAcentral
GACGAACGCUGGCGGCGUGCUUAACACAUGCAAGUCGAACGGUUCGUCCCUCCUGUGUGCUUGCGCUCGAGUGGCAAGAGGGGGUGCGACCGGGGAAGUAACACGUGGGUAACCUAGCCAUCAGCGAGGGAUAACACUUUAAAACAGGUGAUAAUAUCGUGUAACAGGUUGUGCCUCGGAGCAUAAGGGUGAAUGGCGCUGGAGCGUGGGUUUGAUAGCUGGUUGGGGGGGUAAUGGCCUAGCUAGGCGAGGAUGGGUAGACGACCUGAGCGGAGGAUCGGCCACCCUGGGACGGAGACACGGCCCAGACGCCUACGGGAGGCAGCAGUCGGGAAUCGUAGGCAAUGGACGAAAGUCUGACACAGCAACGCCGCGUGUGUGACGAAGGCGUUCGGAUCGUAAAGCUCUGUUGUUGGAGAAGAACAGGGUUGUCCGGAAACGAAGGUUGCGUGACGGUAUUUAGUCAAAAAGCAACGGCUAACUACGUG